UACGUAGGGGGCAAGCGUUGCUCGGAAUCACUGGGCGUAAAGCGCACGUAGGCGGAUUGUUAAGUCAGGGGUGAAAUCCUGGAGCUCAACUCCAGAACUGCCUUUGAUACUGGCGAUCUCGAGUCCGGGAGAGGUGAGUGGAACUGCGAGUGUAGAGGUGAAAUUCGUAGAUAUUCGCAAGAACACCAGUGGCGAAGGCGGCUCACUGGCCCGGUACUGACGCUGAGGUGCGAAAGCGUGGGGAGCAAACAGG
This 253-nucleotide ribosomal RNA is filed under the name uncultured bacterium. RNAcentral's name for it is "partial 16S ribosomal RNA". It matches the Rfam family "Bacterial small subunit ribosomal RNA", at positions 524 to 776 of the family's 1533-position model. The record is from RNAcentral.